This 48-nucleotide non-coding RNA is filed under the name Schistosoma haematobium. The record is from RNAcentral. Lineage: Eukaryota; Metazoa; Platyhelminthes; Trematoda; Strigeidida; Schistosomatidae.
AUCCAGCUGACGAGUGCCAAAUAGGACAAAACGUGCGUCAAACUGGAU